This 963-nucleotide ribosomal RNA is filed under the name uncultured bacterium. RNAcentral's name for it is "bacterial SSU rRNA". It matches the Rfam family "Bacterial small subunit ribosomal RNA", at positions 53 to 1008 of the family's 1533-position model. The record is from RNAcentral.
ACAUGCAAGUCGAGGGGCAGCAUCAUUAAAGCUUGCUUUGAUGGAUGGCGACCGGCGCACGGGUGAGUAACACGUAUCCAACCUGCCGACAACACUGGGAUAGCCUUUCGAAAGAAAGAUUAAUACCGGAUGGCAUAGUCUUCCCGCAUGGGAUGACUAUUAAAGAAUUUCGGUUGUCGAUGGGGAUGCGUUCCAUUAGGCAGUUGGCGGGGUAACGGCCCACCAAACCAACGAUGGAUAGGGGUUCUGAGAGGAAGGUCCCCCACAUUGGAACUGAGACACGGUCCAAACUCCUACGGGAGGCAGCAGUGAGGAAUAUUGGUCAAUGGACGAGAGUCUGAACCAGCCAAGUAGCGUGAAGGAUGACUGCCCUAUGGGUUGUAAACUUCUUUUAUACGGGAAUAAAGUGAGCCACGUGUGGCUUUUUGUAUGUACCGUAUGAAUAAGGAUCGGCUAACUCCGUGCCAGCAGCCGCGGUAAUACGGAGGAUCCGAGCGUUAUCCGGAUUUAUUGGGUUUAAAGGGAGCGUAGGCGGGUUGUUAAGUCAGUUGUGAAAGUUUGCGGCUCAACCGUAAAAUUGCAGUUGAUACUGGCGACCUUGAGUGCAACAGAGGUAGGCGGAAUUCGUGGUGUAGCGGUGAAAUGCUUAGAUAUCACGAAGAACUCCGAUUGCGAAGGCAGCUUACUGGAUUGUAACUGACGCUGAUGCUCGAAAGUGUGGGUAUCAAACAGGAUUAGAUACCCUGGUAGUCCACACAGUAAACGAUGAAUACUCGCUGUUGGCGAUAUACGGUCAGCGGCCAAGCGAAAGCAUUAAGUAUUCCACCUGGGGAGUACGCCGGCAACGGUGAAACUCAAAGGAAUUGACGGGGGCCCGCACAAGCGGAGGAACAUGUGGGUUAAUUCGAUGAUACGCGAGGAACCUUACCCGGGCUUAAAUUGCAACUGACUGAACCGGAAACG